CCGCCUCGUGCUAAAGAGGAGGAAGGAAUGGGCAACGGUAGGUCAGCAUGCCCCGAACUUAUCUGGGCUACACGCGGGCUACAAUGGGUGGGACAAUGGGUAUCGACACCGAAAGGUGAAGGGCAAUCUCCUAAAACCCAUCCGUAGUUCGGAUUGUGGGCUGCAACUCGCCCACAUGAAGCUGGAAUCUGUAGUAAUCGUGUCUCAAAAUGGCACGGUGAAUAUGUCCCUGCUCCUU
This 238-nucleotide ribosomal RNA is filed under the name uncultured Methanomicrobiales archaeon. RNAcentral describes it as "partial 16S ribosomal RNA". It matches the Rfam family "Archaeal small subunit ribosomal RNA", at positions 1103 to 1338 of the family's 1478-position model. The record is from RNAcentral. Lineage: Archaea; Methanobacteriati; Methanobacteriota; Methanomicrobia; Methanomicrobiales.